UCGUGACUUCAAUGGGAAUAGAGGCAUCAAUGCGAUGUUGGUAAUAAAUAUCAAUAUAAUCAACAUCAAGGCGCUUCAGGGGGUGUUUGAUUUACCCAUUGGGUGCAAUUGAUAGCUGAUAGACACUCAAACAGGUAAAUUAUAGUGUUUGGCAAGUUAAAAAAAAUAGAGCUGAUAGCUGAUGGGCAACUGAUAUGAUACCCAUCAGCUGCAGUUUGUAUCAUAUCUAUUUUUAGAGCGGUUU
RNAcentral lists this unclassified non-coding RNA (244 nucleotides) under Hevea brasiliensis (rubber tree). Lineage: Eukaryota; Viridiplantae; Streptophyta; Magnoliopsida; Malpighiales; Euphorbiaceae. The record is from RNAcentral.